This 235-nucleotide unclassified non-coding RNA is filed under the name Hevea brasiliensis (rubber tree). Lineage: Eukaryota; Viridiplantae; Streptophyta; Magnoliopsida; Malpighiales; Euphorbiaceae. The record is from RNAcentral.
GGGUUUUGCCCACAAUAAAAGCACUAUUAGGUAGAUUGUCAAAUUUGUAAUAUGAUAUAUAGAUAUAGAUAUACAUGGAAGUAUACAAGUCAAAAUCCAAUUAUAUGUAGAUUGUAAACCAUGAUACUUGUGCAUCACAUGCAUCUCCUUUUAGCAUUUUGCUUUAUGGAUGAUUGAUUUUUGUUUCAUUAAUUGGUAUCCAAAGGCAAGUUCCUUUGGAUUGUGAUAGUGCUAG